UACGGAGGGUGCAAGCGUUAUCCGGAUUCACUGGGUUUAAAGGGUGCGUAGGUGGGCAGGUAAGUCAGUGGUGAAAUCUCCGUGCUUAACAUGGAAACUGCCAUUGAUACUAUGUUUCUUGAAUUUUCCGGAGGUAAGCGGAAUAUGUCAUGUAGCGGUGAAAUGCUUAGAUAUGACAUAGAACACCAAUUGCGAAGGCAGCUUACUACAGGGAUAUUGACACUGAGGCACGAAAGCGUGGGGAUCAAACAGG
This 253-nucleotide ribosomal RNA is filed under the name uncultured bacterium. Its description in RNAcentral is "partial 16S ribosomal RNA". It matches the Rfam family "Bacterial small subunit ribosomal RNA", at positions 524 to 776 of the family's 1533-position model. The record is from RNAcentral.